UCCCUCAUGGCUCAGAUGGUAAAAGCAUCUGCAUGCAAUGCAGGAGACCCGGGUUCGAUCCCUGGGUGGGGAA
Molecule: transfer RNA, 73 nt
Filed under: Ovis aries (sheep)
Lineage: Eukaryota; Metazoa; Chordata; Mammalia; Artiodactyla; Bovidae
Rfam family: tRNA
About the family: Transfer RNA (tRNA) molecules are approximately 80 nucleotides in length. Their secondary structure includes four short double-helical elements and three loops (D, anti-codon, and T loops).
Source: Rfam by way of RNAcentral